This 451-nucleotide ribosomal RNA is filed under the name uncultured bacterium. RNAcentral describes it as "bacterial SSU rRNA". It matches the Rfam family "Bacterial small subunit ribosomal RNA", at positions 354 to 796 of the family's 1533-position model. The record is from RNAcentral.
GUGGGGAAUUUUGCGCAAUGGGGGAAACCCUGACGCAGCAACGCCGCGUGAGUGAUGAAGGCCUUCGGGUUGUAAAGCUCUUUUGGUGGGGAAGAAACGCCCCGAGGUGAAUAAUCUCGGGGUUUGACGGUACCCACAGAAAAAGUUCCGGCUAACUACGUGCCAGCAGCCGCGGUAAUACGUAGGGAGCUAGCGUUGUUCGGAAUUACUGGGCGUAAAGAGCGCGUAGGCGGUCUGGUAAGUCCGUCGUGAAAUCCCAGAGCUUAACUCUGGAACUGCGGCGGAAACUGCCAGGCUUGAGUGCGGGAGAGGAGAGUGGAAUUCCCAGUGUAGAGGUGAAAUUCGUAGAUAUUGGGAGGAACACCGGUGGCGAAGGCGGCUCUCUGGACCGCAACUGACGCUGAGGCGCGAAAGCUAGGGGAGCAAACGGGAUUAGAAACCCGGGUAGUCC